This 459-nucleotide ribosomal RNA is filed under the name uncultured bacterium. Its description in RNAcentral is "partial 16S ribosomal RNA". It matches the Rfam family "Bacterial small subunit ribosomal RNA", at positions 338 to 795 of the family's 1533-position model. The record is from RNAcentral.
CCUACGGGAGGCAGCAGUGAGGAAUAUUGGUCAAUGGCCGAGAGGCUGAACCAGCCAAGUCGCGUGAGGGAAGACGGCCCUACGGGUUGUAAACCUCUUUUGUCGGGGAGCAAAGCGAGUCACGUGUGACUCAUUGAGAGUACCCGAAGAAAAAGCAUCGGCUAACUCCGUGCCAGCAGCCGCGGUAAUACGGAGGAUGCGAGCGUUAUCCGGAUUUAUUGGGUUUAAAGGGUGCGCAGGCGGAGGUGCAAGUCAGCGGUCAAAUUGCGGGGCUCAACCCCGUACUGCCGUUGAAACUGCAGCCCUUGAGUGCGCGAGAAGUAUGCGGAAUGCGUGGUGUAGCGGUGAAAUGCAUAGAUAUCACGCAGAACUCCGAGUGCGAAGGCAGCAUACCGGCGCGCAACUGACGCUCAUGCACGAAAGCGUGGGUAUCGAACAGGAUUAGAUACCCCUGUAGUC